This 807-nucleotide long non-coding RNA is filed under the name Ursus maritimus (polar bear). RNAcentral describes it as "lncRNA (ENSUMAG00000018640.1)". The record is from RNAcentral. Lineage: Eukaryota; Metazoa; Chordata; Mammalia; Carnivora; Ursidae.
UUUAUCUUUGUGCUUCACCUUUUUUCGUUUGUGAAGUGUGAGGCAGGACUAGGUGAUUUCCUGGAUGUUGUUCUGGCCCUAAAGGUUUUGAAUAUGUGUGACUACUGAGAACAAAAAGAAAACAGUUUCUAUAAGUGGAUGUUUCUAUAAGUGGACAAAUACAUAUAAGGAAUUGGGUAAACUUGAUUUGUUCUUGGAGUUUGGUAUUUUGUGAUUGUUAGUGUUGGUAAUUUUUUGUUGGUUUGCUAUAUUAGUUACCUUUUAAUUUCCUUUAAGACCUUUUUUCACCAUGCAGAGAUAUUCUGUGAGGAGAGUGUUAACAAGCACCCUUUUAUUUUCUCAGAGGCACUUCCUGACCUCUCUUUUUCUUGUGCUUUUGGAUCUUAACCUUGAUGGGCUCUUCAGCGAAGUCUUAGCUGCCUUUCAGAGGAGAAGAGUUCCAAAUCUUUGUUAGAAAAUGUUCUACAACUUAAAUUUUAAGUGUAAGGUAAGAUCAUUUCACUCCUUAGGGCUUGAAAUAAGUACCUUUUAUGGCCUUAACUUGAAGUCUGUUUUCCUCUUGUUGCAUUAGGUAGAUCUGUUUUCAUCUCCUGCACUCUUCCUAAUGCCUCUUUUCAUUUGACUAUUUGUUGUUCCCCUUCAAAUCUUUGUCUUAGAUGGUUUUCCAAUAUUCAACUAAAUGGGAAACUAUCUGCUGGAGUUGAAGAAUUUUCUCAUUCUGGGCUCCAUACUAUAAGGUUGCUUAUAGAUAUGCUUAUUUUUGUUUAUUUAAAUAAAGAUAGUCUCUAUAAUAGUUUUCUCUGAUUU